This 823-nucleotide long non-coding RNA is filed under the name Zostera marina. RNAcentral's name for it is "long non-coding RNA (ZMAR_LNC006040)". Lineage: Eukaryota; Viridiplantae; Streptophyta; Magnoliopsida; Alismatales; Zosteraceae. The record is from RNAcentral.
UUUUUGUGUAGUAGAUUUUAUCACUAGAUUGAUAAAAUCGUUUUUCUGGUUGACAACAUGAUGGUGAAAUGGAGGUGAUUGAUUACUGAGGACGAUGGAGGAAGAACAAGAAUAACAAUAUUAGAAUUGAGUGUUUUGUCCACAUCUAAUCUAAGUACCCGACCCUUUUGUUCUUCUUCAAUAGAUAAGAAACCGCCGCCUUCAAAGAAUCAAACCCAAUUUUCCAGCUACAACAAGAUGCUUUCGUAAAACUAACGAACGGGAAGAAGCUGAACGGACAGAAAGCCCCGACGGGAGUGCGACGGUAACGAACGGGAGCGCGAGUUCUGCGAAACCUCUGCUGUGAGUGCGAGCACGCCUCCGGCAGAGAGACGCGAGCACGCCGUCGUUUGGGAACCUCCGCCAUCUGCAAGAGACGCGAGUGCUACGCUUCAUCCGGUCAACCACGAUCUCACCAUCCUUCCACUAUCCUCCGGCCAACGAGAAGCUCCCCCAGCCGCCAAGACAGAUUAGGGUUGAUCCCACAAGGGAUCCCCAAAUUUGGAUCGGCGAGUGGAAAGGAGACUCGGCGAGAGUACGAGAACCCUUCCAACUGCCCAGACAGACUAGGGUCGAUUCCGUAAGGAAUCCCCAUCCUUAUAUCGGCGAGUUGGGGGGGCCUAUCGGCGAGUGUGGGAAGGCUAUCGGCGAGUGGGAUAGGGUAUCGGCGAUUCCUGUAUUAAUUCGGCGGGAAAGAAGCUAUUGGGAGUGAAUAACCACUCAAAAUACACACUAUUGUACCCACUUAAAAUCUACUCAAAAUCUGUGUAAUCGUCGAUUGGAG